Molecule: small nuclear RNA, 50 nt
Filed under: Chelonoidis abingdonii (Abingdon island giant tortoise)
Lineage: Eukaryota; Metazoa; Chordata; Testudines; Testudinidae
Description: U5 spliceosomal RNA (ENSCABG00000009904.1)
Source: RNAcentral
UCCAGUGUAGUAUUAUAAAUCUUUCGCCUUUUACUAAAGAUUUCCGUGGA